This 253-nucleotide ribosomal RNA is filed under the name uncultured bacterium. RNAcentral describes it as "partial 16S ribosomal RNA". It matches the Rfam family "Bacterial small subunit ribosomal RNA", at positions 524 to 776 of the family's 1533-position model. The record is from RNAcentral.
UACGUAGGUGGCAAGCGUUGUCCGGAUUUAUUGGGUUUAAAGGGUGCGUAGGCGGUCCUAUAAGUCAGUGCUGAAAUAUCCCGGCUUAACCGGGAGGGUGGCAUUGAUACUGUAGGACUUGAGUAAAGUUGAGGUUGGCGGAAUUGACGGUGUAGCGGUGAAAUGCUUAGAUAUCGUCAAGAACACCUAUUGCGAAGGCAGCUUACUAAGCUUUAACUGACGCUGAUGCACGAAAGUGUGGGGAUCAAACAGG